UACGUAGGCAGCGAGCGUUGUUUCGGAAUUUACUGGGCGUAAAGAGUGUGUAGGCGGUGCUCCCAGUCUGUUGUGAAAUCUCCCGGCUUUAACUGGGAGGGUGCAGCGGAAACUAGAGUGCUAGAGGGUGGGAGAGGUAAGCGGAAUUCCUGGUGUAGCGGUGAAAUGCGUAGAUAUCAGGAGGAACACCUGUGGUGUAGACAGCUUACUGGACCACUUCUGACGUGAGACACGAAAGCGUGGGUAGC
RNAcentral lists this ribosomal RNA (248 nucleotides) under uncultured bacterium. Its description in RNAcentral is "partial 16S ribosomal RNA". It matches the Rfam family "Bacterial small subunit ribosomal RNA", at positions 524 to 769 of the family's 1533-position model. The record is from RNAcentral.